CAUAAUGUUUGACUCUUCAUCUUAUUAAAAAAAUUUACGAUUUAUAUUUUUGUUUUUAUUAGAUGAUAAAUCAUGAAUAAUACUUAACGUGUUACUAAUUUUCUUUCAAUUUCUUAAAAAAAUUUAAAUAAGACAGAUGAUCAAACGCUGAACACGGGAACGGACGGC
This 168-nucleotide microRNA precursor is filed under the name Oryza brachyantha (malo sina). RNAcentral describes it as "MIR812 microRNA precursor family". It matches the Rfam family "MIR812 microRNA precursor family", at positions 27 to 195 of the family's 205-position model. The record is from Rfam by way of RNAcentral. Lineage: Eukaryota; Viridiplantae; Streptophyta; Magnoliopsida; Poales; Poaceae.